RNAcentral lists this ribosomal RNA (272 nucleotides) under uncultured Oscillospiraceae bacterium. RNAcentral's name for it is "partial 16S ribosomal RNA". It matches the Rfam family "Bacterial small subunit ribosomal RNA", at positions 69 to 339 of the family's 1533-position model. Lineage: Bacteria; Bacillati; Bacillota; Clostridia; Eubacteriales; Oscillospiraceae. The record is from RNAcentral.
AGCUUAGAGAGCUUGCUUUUAAGCUUAGUGGCGAACGGGUGAGUAACGCGUGAGUAACCUGCCCUAGAGUGGGGGACAACAGUUGGAAACGACUGCUAAUACCGCAUAAGCCCACGGCUCGGCAUCGAGCAGAGGGAAAGGAGCAAUCCGCUUUGAGAUGGCCUCGCGUCCGAUUAGCUAGUUGGUGAGGUAACGGCCCACCAAGGCGACGAUUGGUAGCCGGACUGAGAGGUUGAUCGGCCACAUUGGGACUGAGACACGGCCCAGACUCC